Molecule: non-coding RNA, 433 nt
Organism: Pogona vitticeps (central bearded dragon)
Lineage: Eukaryota; Metazoa; Chordata; Lepidosauria; Squamata; Agamidae
Source: RefSeq, a predicted model, not a curated record
UUUGAGUUAUGAACAGAAAAAGGCAGGGUAAAAAGGUGGUGAAUUCAAAUUGCUAACUGUAGGUGGAGACAAGGCUUUUCUUUGUAGUUCUUCCGUCCUAGCAGUUAGAGAGUGUGUGAUCUGAGGAGGCUUCGGACUGCCAGGUAAGAUCCUCAGCUGUUAUUGGUUGCAGAAGAUCAAACAUCUGUGACACAUCCCAUGUUUGAAAUAUACUAGCUCAGUGGAGAGGCAUGUUUCAGGCCCAGAAAAUCCCAGAGGAUAACUCUUUUCUUCAGCUGGAAAAAAUACCAAAGGUCUUCUCUUCCACCCUCUGCCAAUGCUGGAAACCUACAUCCAAAUGGCCGUCCAAAUUCUGUUUAAAAACCUCCAAGGACAGGGAGUCUGCUCUCCUCCAAGGUCGGCGAGGAACUGGGACAAAGCGACGGGAGCUCAC